RNAcentral lists this ribosomal RNA (253 nucleotides) under uncultured bacterium. RNAcentral's name for it is "partial 16S ribosomal RNA". It matches the Rfam family "Bacterial small subunit ribosomal RNA", at positions 524 to 776 of the family's 1533-position model. The record is from RNAcentral.
UACAGAGGUGCCAAGCGUUGUUCGGAUUUAUUGGGCGUAAAGGGUGCGUAGGCGGUCACGCAAGUCGGAUGUGAAAUACCGGAGCCUAACUCCGGAACGGCAUUCGAAACUGCGCGGCUCGAGGUCUGGAGAGGUGACUGGAAUUCUCGGUGUAGCAGUGAAAUGCGUAGAUAUCGAGAGGAACACCAGAGGCGAAAGCGGGUCACUGGACAGAACCUGACGCUGAGGCACGAAAGCCAGGGGAGCAAACGGG